UUCAGCCCCUCCAGGGCGCAGGCGCGGCGCUGCUGUACUGCGCCUGCGCGGCGCCACAGCCCCGCCUCCAGGGGCGUUCCCGGGAGGACCGGAGUGCGGCGGGGAGGCAGUUAACGCUUUCGCUGAGCAGCUUAGUUUGAGGAGUAUCUUUACUGUCUAAUUUUCACCCAUUCGUGACUUCAAGCAUGUGAUGGGGAGCACUGAGCUUUUUAUCAGACAAACCUCGUGGAAACGGCAACUCCACCACUUUUCAGCUGUGUAACCCGUAGAAAAAUUACUCUGGCCUCGGUUUUCAGAGGGGAAAAUUAGGGACCAUGUCAUAAUGCCAGCCCCACAGGACUGCUGGCGGCGGGAGAAGAGUGAAAUAACAGGUCUGCCUUUGCGCGCUGCCUGGCACACAGCCAGGACGGCCCACGCCUCCCCACCCGCUCCAACCCGGAGAACCGGAUCUCGUCCCGGGAGCGAAGCCAGAAGCGCGCCUGCGCCGCCAGGCAGCCUCGCGCAUGCCCGCUGUCUCCCACCGCCUUUUCCCCAGAGCGACUUGCGAGUUAGAUUUCUUGGCUUGACUCCGCGACCCUGGAAUAUUGGCGGCUGACGGAGCAUCAUCCGAGACCCCGCUUCUUUUGCAAAUUACAGUUAAGCCCCUCGGACAAAUGCAAAGAACUUCCUUUGGUGGAAGCCCUGUUGCGCACCAACCAACUUUCUGUUUUCCCACUAACUCCCCACCCAAGCUUGCAAGGGAAUUCAGGUCCUGAGACCUUUAGAAACAUCUCUAAGGUGGUAACUACGUAUAUGGUGGCCCCAGGAUCCAAAGAGUGAAGCCUCUGCAUAUAAAUAUGGUUUUCUAACUGUUGAAUGAAUUCAAGCCACAUACUAAGAAGAAAAGUGACAUCGUGGAAUAACUCAUUUGCCAGAUUCUUUCUCCCUAAAGCCAAUAAGGCAUGGAAGAGUCCUCAACCAACUAAGUGAAGUUGGUAAACUUCCUCACUGCAUCUUUCUUGGCACAUGGAGGAAGAAAGUCUUUUAAAAGGUAUCUUGCAUCCGGAGGCCAAAACCAAAAACUCUUUUAAGAAUUUCGGCAUAUUAACAUAGUUUUUAAAAAGCCACCCAGGGGCGCCUGGGUGGCGCGGUCGGUUAAGCGUCCGACUUCAGCCAGGUCACGAUCUCGCGGUCCGUGAGUUCGAGCCCCGCGUCAGGCUCUGGGCUGACGGCUCGGAGCCUGGAGCCUGUUUCCGAUUCUGUGUCUCCCUCUCUCUCUGCCCCUCCCC
This is a long non-coding RNA of Neofelis nebulosa (Clouded leopard), 1268 nucleotides long. RefSeq lists it as uncharacterized. The transcript is spliced from 4 exons. Lineage: Eukaryota; Metazoa; Chordata; Mammalia; Carnivora; Felidae. The record is from RefSeq and is a predicted model, not a curated record.